Molecule: long non-coding RNA, 623 nt
Organism: Xenopus tropicalis (tropical clawed frog)
Lineage: Eukaryota; Metazoa; Chordata; Amphibia; Anura; Pipidae
Exons: 4
Source: RefSeq, a predicted model, not a curated record
UGCCGUGUGUAGGGCGCUGUGUGAGGGAGUAGCGCGGCUGCCACGACUGCACCGUGUGGCUUAUACACUUCCCAGUCUGUUUCACUACCCCGUAGCCCUACUUAGCCGUCUGUAUAAGCGUGAGACUAGCAGUUUGGUGCAGACUCUUUCCAUGGCAAGCUCGUAAGGCUAGAGUCCUACAGGCCAGAAUGGAGGUCGAAAUAAAGCAAUUUUGUAAUGAACAGCGUAUAUCCUAAAGAAGUAAGAAAAGGAAAAGAAGGAGAAAGAGAGAAAUGCUCCCACUUCUGUUGGACGAUGGGGCCAAAGAAUGAAAAGAAAGGCAGAACAAAGAACUACAGAAUUAACUGCUGCUGCUUUAUAGUAUUCAGGGAACUACAUUGAAAUGCAUACACUUCCUACUAUUUAUUGAAGCAAUGAUCUUAAAGGGGGCAUAUUGAGUAAAAAGUCUAUAUUGUGCCAGUGAAUUGGAGUAAUAUAGAAACUUGCUUCUAUUAAGUGUGUUCUUAGUACCGCCACUCCAGCCAACUAGCACAACUGCAAACGGUAGUUUCAAAUUGCCCAUUUAAAGGAAAACUAACCUCAAACAAUGUAGGUCUCUAUAAAAAUAAACUGCAUAAAGCACC